GCUGGGUGUGGUGGCACUUGCCUGUAGUCCCAGCUACUGGGGAAGCUGAGGCCAGAGGAUUGUUUGAGACCAUGAAUUCUGGCUUAUAAUGUGCUAUGCCGUUCUGGUGCCUGCAUUAAGUUUGGCAUCAAUAUAGUGUCGUCCUGAGAGCAGGGGACUACAAGGUUGCUUAAGCAGAGGUGAACUGACCCAGGUUGGUAGCAGGGCAGGUCAAAACUGCUGUGCUGGUUAGCAGUGGGAUUGCAUCUGUGAAUAGCCACUGCACUCCACUGUGGCUGACAUGGUGAGGCCCUGUCUGC
Aotus nancymaae (Ma's night monkey) is the source of this 299-nucleotide unclassified non-coding RNA. It matches the Rfam family "Metazoan signal recognition particle RNA". Rfam says of the family: The signal recognition particle (SRP) is a universally conserved ribonucleoprotein. It is involved in the co-translational targeting of proteins to membranes. The eukaryotic SRP consists of a 300-nucleotide 7S RNA and six proteins: SRPs 72, 68, 54, 19, 14, and 9. The record is from Ensembl. Lineage: Eukaryota; Metazoa; Chordata; Mammalia; Primates; Aotidae.